Struthio camelus australis is the source of this 1554-nucleotide long non-coding RNA. The record is from Ensembl. Lineage: Eukaryota; Metazoa; Chordata; Aves; Struthioniformes; Struthionidae.
GUUUUUUUUUGUUUUUUUUUUGGUGUUUUGGGGGGGGGGGAGUUGGCUGCUGUUUGACGUAACUGAUGGCAGCAGCAGCAUGAGCCAUCCCUUGGCAGAUUUACUUUUCCGAGAUGAAAACCUGCGUGGUUUAAAACUUCUGACUCAUCAAAGGAGCAAACAAAUCGGCCUCGCGUGAGGGCUCAGAAACACUCGCACGCUGUAGGACUCGGUGAGAGAUGUGACGGGGUUCUUCAAAAUUGUCUCGUAGGUGAUGGCUGCCGCCGUGGGGUUCGCGCGCCUCGAGGAGGAGCGGCUCCCGAGCGAAGGGGGAGCUGCUGCCUGGAGGCCUAGGAAAGAAUGUUUACUGAAGAAUAUUCCAAACAUUGCUGAUAAUGAGGCUCAAGAAGGUGAAUUCCCUGAUAUCCCUCACUAUGAAAAAGAUGCUAGCGGAUCUCCUGUUGAAUCUGCUCACUUCUGCCCCGAUCUGGAAGACUCGGAUGGUGAAGCAUCGAGUAUGCCUGAGGCUGCAGCGUUUCCUGAGCUUCAGACUGCCUCUGAGUAUGAGGUGGAGGACUGGGAUAAAGAAUUGGAGGACUCUGAAUUUACUCCUUAUGAUGGAGGCAGGACUCGGUGAUUUAGCCCACUGCCAACAGGGAGCUGCUGCAGGAGCUGGGAGCCAGCUCGGGGGGCUGAUGCCCUGCUGCAGCUCCCGCAGGGCUCCCGGCGCGCCGUGCAAGCGCUCUGCACCCCUCCAAGUCAUGCGUGACAGGCAAGUCAUCCCUUCGGCAACAAGACCUCUGCUGCUCACCCGCACUCCUCAAGCUGCUGUGCGGUGAAGGGAGAAGAGCACGUGCCCUGCGCUUUGCUGACUAAUGGCUCUGGGAGCUAAGCCUAACACCAGGCUGCAGGAAAUGCUGUGACCCGUGUUAAUUAGGAAAUCAGCCUAGAUGGUCGUGAUAGCCCGACCAUCUGGCCUUCAACUGUUGCACUGUGGGUUGGCUGUAACUCAUGCAAGUAUUUUAAUUUUGUUAUAAGUUAAUUUCCAAUACAGCCAGCUCACCAUUAGAUGUUAGAGGCCAGGAUAGCUCAGGUGCUGAAAGAAAUGAGAUAAUACAAGAACUGGGAAGAGUAAUAUGAAAUACCCACACAGCUCAGUGUGAUAUAAACCUAGCUGGUGCUAAUAAGCUCUGCUGGCUCUGCGGUGCAGCGCCGGACCCUACCGGGCUGCUGGCGCUCGUGCCUGCAGGAUUCAGCUCAGGUCUCACCAGCUUUAUUAACUCUGGCUCGACGCUGGCAACUCCUAUUCGGGCUGGCUCCACGCGUCGCGCUGGGGUGUCUGCGCCGCGCUCAUCCCGGCCUGGGAGCGGUGUCCCGGUGUCAGGAAUGUGGGACGGAGACGCUCCGGCUGCCUGCUGAGAGCAGCACAGUCAUGGCCGCGCAAACGCAGCCGUCCCGCCUGGAGGCAAACCAAGAGUCUCUCUCCGGGGCAUGGCUCAUCCAGAAGCCAUCCAAGGGAGACUGAAAUAGAUAAAAUACUAAUAAACUGUCUUGAAGUGUCCCUGCUAUCCGCUG